AUGGCAAAGGCUGGUCAAAGGGCUUUUUGACAGGAUUGACGGAAUUAUCAGCCAGAUAGUCAUGGACAAAUGAGUGUGGGAACUAAAUGACUAAAGGGCUUCAUGAACAGAAGAUCUUCAGGGGGUGAGUGUGUGUCACACAUGAAGAUGAGACCUAUCCUACUGCUCACAGUGAUGCUGGCAGCAACCUCUGAUGGUCUGGACAUCUGUGAUGCUACUCAGGAGGCAACAUGUAACGACACCCUAGGACUACCUGUGUAUCUGCAGCUGAUGAGGAACACCACAGGACGUGAACUGAGAUUUCGUAAUGGAACUGAAGGGAUUUUUACAUCCAGAAGCUCAAGGACAGUGUUCCAUAAUGAGUUCAACACCACAUCAUUCCGUCAGAGGUGGCAGUUUGUUCGUGAUAACGGGACCCUGAUUAUAAACCCUGUAGAGAGGAGAGACGCAGGAACAUACAGAGUGGAGAUCUCUGAAGAGUCAACAGGGAAGGGAGUGGGAAAGCACACAGUACAGCUGAUCAUUGAAGCCCCUCCUCUGACCACCAGUGCACCCAGUGCUGGGUCUGUUUCAACAUCUGCUACAUCACCUGAGAUAAUUCUUCCUGUCUCAGUGUCUCUCGUGGCCAUCCUGGUGGGUGUGUGUGUGGCAGCAGGGACGCUCUACAUCUGCAAGAAGAAGAAAACCACACAAACACCAGACUGUAGUUUGGUCCUGCCGGGUCUCCAAACUCACAGCAAAGACCCAAGACCAACACAACACACUGAACCAGGUGUGUGUGGAGAGGUGCAGUAUGCUGUGGUAAACAUAAUGCAGAGGAGCGGGGGACAGCAGAGGGGGCAGCAGCAGGUGGAGUACGGGC
Long non-coding RNA from Clupea harengus (Atlantic herring), 862 nucleotides. The record is from Ensembl. NCBI's taxonomy places the organism in Eukaryota, Metazoa, Chordata, Actinopteri, Clupeiformes, Clupeidae.